RNAcentral lists this unclassified non-coding RNA (253 nucleotides) under Patescibacteria group bacterium. RNAcentral describes it as "contains 16S-23S intergenic spacer region". It matches the Rfam family "Bacterial small subunit ribosomal RNA", at positions 524 to 776 of the family's 1533-position model. The record is from RNAcentral.
UACAGAGACCCCAAACAUUGUCCGGAGUUAUUGGGCGUAAAGGGUUCGCAGGCGGCCUAAUGCGUCAUGUGUCAAAUCUUUGGGCUCAACCCAAAGACUGCGCGUGAUACGGUUAGGCUAGAGGCUGGGAGAGGUACACGGAAUGGCCGGUGUAGGGGUAAAAUCCGUUUAUAUCGGCUAGAACACCAAAGGCGAAGGCAGUGUACUGGAACAGUUCUGACGCUCAGGAACGAAAGCGUGGGUAGCGAACGGG